CAAAAAAAAGCGGUGACGCACCUAAUAACACAUCAGCCACGUUGUACGUCAGCUGCGUCACUGCAGUCAUGUGACUUUAGUCUCGUGCGCGUUCAAAACAGAACCGGAAGAGAAGACAAUGCUGAAUGAUGUCGUAAUUUUGUUAUUUUUGGACCAAAAUGUAUUUUCGAUGCUUCAACACAUUUUAACUGACCCACUGAUGUCAAAUGGCUACUUUGAUGAUGUUUUUUUAUUACCUCUCUGUUCCUGGACAGUAUACUGUGCAUAGAUUUUCAAUGGAGGGUCAGAAAGCUCUCAGACUAAAUCUAAAAUAUCUUAAACUGUGUUUCGAAGAUGAACGGAGGUCUUACCCUCAUGUCGUUCCAAACUCUGACAAAAAGGAAGCAGCCUUCUCUAGCCCACCCAAGUUUCCAUCAAAGGAGCAAGCCUAUGUCAGUAAGAAGAAAGCUGGCUAACCCUCCCACCCCUUGUUUAACUCCUCCAGCCCAUCCCACAUCAUUGUAGAGUGAAGAGACUGCGGUUAAUAUUCAGAAAGAGGCGCAGAGAACUGAAGGCUUUCCUGACUCUAAGCCAUUUAAAACGCAG
Misgurnus anguillicaudatus (oriental weatherfish) is the source of this 585-nucleotide non-coding RNA. Lineage: Eukaryota; Metazoa; Chordata; Actinopteri; Cypriniformes; Cobitidae. The record is from RefSeq and is a predicted model, not a curated record.